This 2052-nucleotide long non-coding RNA is filed under the name Salmo salar (Atlantic salmon). RNAcentral describes it as "lncRNA (ENSSSAG00000083193.1)". The record is from RNAcentral. Lineage: Eukaryota; Metazoa; Chordata; Actinopteri; Salmoniformes; Salmonidae.
GGUGUUGGUGUGUGAAGUGAGACAGAGUUCACUGGUGUUGGUCUGUGAAGAGAGAGAGUUCACUGGUGUUGGUGUGUGAAGAGAGAGAGUUCACUGGUGUUGGUGUGUGAAGAGAGAGAGUUCACUGGUGUUGGUGUGUGAAGGGAGACAGAGUUCACUGGUGUUGGUGUGUGAAGAGAGAGAGUUCACUGGUGUUGGUGUGUGAAGGGAGACAGAGUUCACUGGUGUUGGUGUGUGAAGAGAGAGAGUUCACUGGUGUUGGUGUGUGAAUGGAGACAGAGUUCACUGGUGUUGGUGUGUGAAGCGAGAGAGCUCACUGGUGUUGGUGUGUGAAGGGAGACAGAGUUCACUGGUGUUGGUGUGUGAAGAGAGACAGAGUUCACUGGUGUUGGUCUGUGAAGAGAGAGAGAGUUCACUGGUGUUGGUGUGUGAAGGGAGACAGAGUUCACUGGUGUUGGUGUGUGACGACAGAGAGUUCACUGGUGUUGGUGUGUCAAGGGAGACAGAGUUCACUGGUGUUGGUGUGUGAAGAGAGCGAGUUCACUGGUGUUGGUGUGUGAAGAGAGAGAGUUCACUGGUGUUGGUGUGUGAAGAGAGACAGAGUUCACUGGUGUUGGUGUGUGAAGAGAGAGAGAGUUCACUGGUGUUGGUGUGUGAAGAGAGAGAGUUCACUGGUGUUGUUGUGUGAAGAGAGAGACUUCACUGGUGUUGGUGUGUGAAGAGAGAGAGAGUUCACUGGUGUUGGUGUGUGAAGAGAGAGAGUUCACUGGUGUUGUUGUGUGAAGAGAGACAGUUCACUGGUGUUGGUGUGUGAAGGGAGACAGAGUUCACUGGUGUUGGUGUGUGAAGAGAGCGAGUUCACUGGUGUUGGUGUGUGAAGAGAGAGAGUUCACUGGUGUUGGUGUGUGAAGAGAGACAGAGUUCACUGGUGUUGGUGUGUGAAGAGAGAGAGAGUUCACUGGUGUUGGUGUGUGAAGAGAGAGAGUUCACUGGUGUUGUUGUGUGAAGAGAGAGACUUCACUGGUGUUGGUGUGUGAAGAGAGAGAGAGUUCACUGGUGUUGGUGUGUGAAGAGAGAGAGUUCACUGGUGUUGUUGUGUGAAGAGAGACAGUUCACUGGUGUUGGUGUGUGAAGGGAGACAGACUUCACUGGUGUUGGUGUGUGAAGAGAGAGAGUUCACUGGUGUUGGUGUGUGAAGAGAGACAGUUCACUGGUGUUGGUGUGUGAAGGGAGACAGACUUCACUCGUGUUGGUGUGUGAAGAGAGAGAGAGUUCACUGGUGUUGGUGUGUGAAGAGAGAGAGAGUUCACUGGUGUUGGUGUGUGAAGAGAGAGAGUUCACUGGUGUUGGUGUGUGAAGAGAGAGAGUUCACUGGUGUUGGUGUGUGAAGAGAGAGAGUUCACUGGUGUUGGUGUGUGAAGUGAGACAGAGUUCACUGGUGUUGGUCUGUGAAGAGAGAGAGAGUUCACUGGUGUUGGUGUGUGAAGGGAGAGAGUUCACUGGUGUUGUUGUGUGAAGAGAGAGAGUUCACUGGUGUUGGUGUGUGAAGAGAGAGAGAGUUCACUGGUGUUGGUGUGUGAAGAGAGAGAGUUCACUGGUGUUGUUGUGUGAAGAGAGACAGUUCACUGGUGUUGGUGUGUGAAGGGAGACAGACUUCACUGGUGUUGGUGUGUGAAGAGAGAGAGUUCACUGGUGUUGGUCUGUGAAGAGAGAGAGAGUUCACUGGUGUUGGUGUGUGAAGAGAGAGAGUUCACUGGUGUUGGUGUGUGAAGAGAGAGAGUUCACUGGUGUUGGUCUGUGAAGAGAGAGAGUUCACUGGUGUUGGUGUGUGAAGAGAGAGAGAGUUCACUGGUGUUGGUGUGUGAAGAGAGAGAGUUCACUAGUGUUGGUGUGUGAAGAGAGAGAGUUCACUGGUGUUGGUGUGUGAAGAGAGAGAGUUCACUGGUGUUGGUGUGUGAAGAGAGAGAGUUCACUGGUGUUGGUCUGUGAAGAGAGAGAGUUCACUGGUGUUGGUGUGUGAAGAGAGAGAGAGUUCACUGGUGUUGGUGUGUG